CGCGGCCUAUCAGCUUGUUGGUGGGGUAAUGGCCUACCAAGGCGACGACGGGUAGCCGGCCUGAGAGGGCGACCGGCCACACUGGGACUGAGACACGGCCCAGACUCCUACGGGAGGCAGCAGUGGGGAAUAUUGCACAAUGGGCGAAAGCCUGAUGCAGCGACGCCGCGUGAGGGAUGACGGCCUUCGGGUUGUAAACCUCUUUCAGCAGGGAAGAAGCGAAAGUGACGGUACCUGCAGAAGAAGCGCCGGCUAACUACGUGCCAGCAGCCGCGGUAAUACGUAGGGCGCAAGCGUUGUCCGGAAUUAUUGGGCGUAAAGAGCUCGUAGGCGGCUUGUCACGUCGGAUGUGAAAGCCCGGGGCUUAACCCCGGGUCUGCAUUCGAUACGGGCAGGCUAGAGUGUGGUAGGGGAGAUCGGAAUUCCUGGUGUAGCGGUGAAAUGCGCAGAUAUCAGGAGGAACACCGGUGGCGAAGGCGGAUCUCUGGGCCAUUACUGACGCUGAGGAGCGAAAGCGUGGGGAGCGAACAGGAUUAGAUACCCUGGUAGUCCACGCCGUAAACGUUGGGAACUAGGUGUUGGCGACAUUCCACGUCGUCGGUGCCGCAGCUAACGCAUUAAGUUCCCCGCCUGGGGAGUACGG
This 643-nucleotide ribosomal RNA is filed under the name uncultured Actinomycetes bacterium. RNAcentral describes it as "bacterial SSU rRNA". It matches the Rfam family "Bacterial small subunit ribosomal RNA", at positions 232 to 885 of the family's 1533-position model. The record is from RNAcentral. Lineage: Bacteria; Bacillati; Actinomycetota; Actinomycetes.